RNAcentral lists this transfer-messenger RNA (359 nucleotides) under Planctomycetia bacterium. It matches the Rfam family "transfer-messenger RNA". Rfam says of the family: Bacterial tmRNA, also known as 10Sa RNA or SsrA, is named for its dual tRNA and mRNA-like properties. RNAcentral also lists the same sequence under 1 other name. Lineage: Bacteria; Pseudomonadati; Planctomycetota; Planctomycetia. The record is from RNAcentral.
GGGGGCGUACUGGUUUCGACCGGAUGGUAGGAGGUUCAGAUUGCGUGCCGUGGUUGGUCGGCUGGCCACGUUAAAAGUCGACCACAGCUUCAAUUGCCGAAGCUCAGUUUUCUCUGGCCGCUUAGUUAAGUAGCCCCGAGCGAUGGCCCCAGUCGGAAGGGCCUCCCAAUCGGUCGCCAAAUCCGACUCGCCCUGUUUCAUCGCCCGAUACGGACGGGGUUAAAUUUGUUUCGAGCUGGUUGUGGAGGCACCCUGUCGGCCGGGGGCCCCGUGACGAGAUUCAAAUUGACCGAAUACGCGCGUAGACGUCUGGGCUGAAACAUUACGGGACGCGGGUUCGAUUCCCGCCGCCUCCACUU